GCGCCUUUAGCUCAGUUGGUAGAGCACUGGACUUUUAAUCCAUUGGUCGCGGGUUCGAACCCCGCAGGGCGCACCA
This 76-nucleotide transfer RNA is filed under the name Glutamicibacter bergerei. Its description in RNAcentral is "tRNA-Lys". It matches the Rfam family "tRNA". Rfam says of the family: Transfer RNA (tRNA) molecules are approximately 80 nucleotides in length. Their secondary structure includes four short double-helical elements and three loops (D, anti-codon, and T loops). Lineage: Bacteria; Bacillati; Actinomycetota; Actinomycetes; Micrococcales; Micrococcaceae. RNAcentral also lists the same sequence under 5 other names. The record is from RNAcentral.